CAAUAGCGUAUAUUAAAGUUGUUGCAGUUAAAAAGCUCGUAGUUGGAUUUCUGAUGGGAGCGAUCGGUCUGGCGCUUAGCGCGAGUACUUGCAUCGUCUCCGGCCAUCCUUGGGGAGAGUCUGUCUGGCAUUAGGUUGUCGGGCAGAGGAUCCUCAUCGUUUACUGUGAAAAAAUUAGAGUGUUCAAAGCAGGCUUAUGCCGUUGAAUAUAUUAGCAUGGAAUAAUAAGAUAGGACUUUGGUACUAUUUUGUUGGUUUGCGCACCAAAGUAAUGAUUAAUAGGGACAGUUGGGGGUAUUCGUAUUCCGUUGUCAGAGGUGAAAUUCUUGGAUUACGGAAGACGAACUACUGCGAAAGCAUUUACCAAGGAUGUUUUCAUUAA
RNAcentral lists this ribosomal RNA (382 nucleotides) under uncultured eukaryote. RNAcentral describes it as "partial 18S ribosomal RNA". It matches the Rfam family "Eukaryotic small subunit ribosomal RNA", at positions 592 to 976 of the family's 1831-position model. The record is from RNAcentral.